This is a non-coding RNA of Gossypium raimondii (Peruvian cotton), 143 nucleotides long. The record is from Rfam. NCBI's taxonomy places the organism in Eukaryota, Viridiplantae, Streptophyta, Magnoliopsida, Malvales, Malvaceae.
UGUUAAAGAUUUUAUCCAUUUUUAUCAUUAAAAAUUGGAGUAAUCGUCAGAUAACUUGAUAGUUGCACGUGGUAUGUCACUUGUACCUUAUGUUGUCAUACAAGGACAAAUUUUAGUAGUAGAAAUGGAUGAAAUUUUUAACA